GGCAAUUUUCAGGUGACUCACCCAGGAAUCAGUCUCCCUCCUCUCUGGUUCCCGUGCCUCAACCAAGAACUGCA
MicroRNA precursor from Myotis lucifugus (little brown bat), 74 nucleotides. It matches the Rfam family "mir-9223 microRNA precursor family". NCBI's taxonomy places the organism in Eukaryota, Metazoa, Chordata, Mammalia, Chiroptera, Vespertilionidae. The record is from Rfam.